AUGCACACCAUUUCAACAACCAACUGGAAUGAGCCCCACCCCUCCCUGUCCCCACACACACUGUUCAAGAACCGCUCAAUAUCUGGAAAAGAACGGCUGCUGCAUUGCUUUGAGAAACAACAGGGAGCAAAUUACUGGACGGAUUCUUUAAGUUACCAAUCAGAACUGCUGACCUUUUAUGACUCCUCGAUUCAAGAAGCCUGCCAAACACUCACAAUAAAGACUAUGGAAACAAACAAGCAAAGUAAUGCAGUAACCUUUUACUCGCCUGCUGGAGGUACUACUGUCUGCUGCAUAGAAUUUUAAAUCCUCAUCUGCAGAUGCAAUUGAGCUGAUAUUGCCAAGAACUCUGCUUUUCCUGUGCUGCUGUUAUACAGCUAUUCAUCAAAAGAACACAUUAUAUGAAAAAUGUGAAGUACUAUCAGUUUAAGUUUCUUAUAUGAUUUAACAGAAGAACUUCUAAAAUCUAGCUAAAGCUCUGCUCUAUCACAUUUUCAGAUGCAUGUCAGACACGUUGGGGGAAAAGGUCUUAUUUCUGCUGAUGUACUCCUCCCUAGCAAAUGUGUGAGACUGGGAAGCUAAGAGAAGUACAAAAAAAAUUAAAACAUCAACCUAACAUAAAAACAAUGUACCAAGCAUUAAAACAGCAUACAGUUUAUAUUGUCAACAAAUGUAUAAUAUGCCCAAAAUAACUUGAGAUUUUUAUCAGCUUUAUAACUCACAAAAGCCCAUAAGUAAAUCAUCAUGGCUAAGAUUACAGACAAGCAUCAAUAAAAAUCCCUACCAAAUGUAUACUAUUAAUGAAAGUAGGGUAUUUUACUCGGUAGUCAGCAUUAAUGUUAU
RNAcentral lists this long non-coding RNA (843 nucleotides) under Mustela putorius furo (domestic ferret). RNAcentral's name for it is "lncRNA (ENSMPUG00000027175.1)". Lineage: Eukaryota; Metazoa; Chordata; Mammalia; Carnivora; Mustelidae. The record is from RNAcentral.